This 253-nucleotide ribosomal RNA is filed under the name uncultured bacterium. RNAcentral describes it as "partial 16S ribosomal RNA". It matches the Rfam family "Bacterial small subunit ribosomal RNA", at positions 524 to 776 of the family's 1533-position model. The record is from RNAcentral.
GACGUAGGGCGCGAGCGUUGUCCGGAUUUAUUGGGCGUAAAGGGCUCGUAGGCGGUCUGUCGCGUCGGGAGUGAAAACUCAGGGCUUAACCCUGAGCCUGCUUCCGAUACGGGCAGACUAGAGGUAUGCAGGGGAGAACGGAAUUCCUGGUGUAGCGGUGGAAUGCGCAGAUAUCAGGAGGAACACCGGUGGCGAAGGCGGUUCUCUGGGCAUUACCUGACGCAGAGGAGCGAAAGUGUGGGGAGCGAACAGG